AGAGUUUGAUCAUGGCUCAGAACGAACGCUGGCGGCAGGCUUAACACAUGCAAGUCGAACGCUCGUAGCAAUACGGGAGUGGCGGACGGGUGAGUAACGCGUGGGAACGUGCCCUGAGGUACGGAAUAACUGAGGGAAACUUCAGCUAAUACCGUAUGAGCCCCGAGAGGGGGAAAGAUUUAUCGCCUUGGGAGCGGCCCGCGUCGGAUUAGCUAGUUGGUGGGGUAACGGCCUACCAAGGCUUCGAUCCGUAGCUGGUCUGAGAGGACGAUCAGCCACACUGGGACUGAGACACGGCCCAGACUCCUACGGGAGGCAGCAGUGGGGAAUCUUGCGCAAUGGGGGCAACCCUGACGCAGCCAUGCCGCGUGAACGAUGAAGGCCUUAGGGUUGUAAAGUUCUUUUACCCGUGACGAUGAUGACGGUAACGGGGGAAUAAGCUCCGGCUAACUUCGUG
Molecule: ribosomal RNA, 457 nt
Filed under: uncultured bacterium
Lineage: Bacteria
Description: bacterial SSU rRNA
Rfam family: Bacterial small subunit ribosomal RNA
Source: RNAcentral